GACGAACGCUGGCGGCGUGCUUAACACAUGCAAGUCGAGCGGUAAGGCCCUUUCGGGGGUACGACGAGCGGCGAACGGGUGAGUAACACGUGGGUGACCUGCCCUCAGCUCUGGGAUAAGCCUGGGAAACCGGGUCUAAUACCGGAUAUGACUCCAUGACGCAUGUUGUGGGGUGGAAAGCCUUGUGCGGCUGAGGAUGGGCCCGCGGCCUAUCAGCUUGUUGGUGGGGUGAUGGCCUACCAAGGCGACGACGGGUAGCCGGCCUGAGAGGGCGACCGGCCACACUGGGACUGAGACACGACCCAGACUCCUACGGGAGGCAGCAGUGGGGAAUCUUGCGCAAUGGGCGAAAGCCUGACGCAGCGACGCCGCGUGAGGGAUGACGGCCUGG
This 391-nucleotide ribosomal RNA is filed under the name uncultured bacterium. RNAcentral describes it as "bacterial SSU rRNA". It matches the Rfam family "Bacterial small subunit ribosomal RNA", at positions 28 to 419 of the family's 1533-position model. The record is from RNAcentral.